This 291-nucleotide long non-coding RNA is filed under the name Ananas comosus (pineapple). RNAcentral's name for it is "long non-coding RNA (ACOM_LNC018860)". Lineage: Eukaryota; Viridiplantae; Streptophyta; Magnoliopsida; Poales; Bromeliaceae. The record is from RNAcentral.
AUAUAUAUAUAUAUAUAUAUAUAUAUAUAUAUAUAUAUAUAUAUAUAGAGAGAGAGGCUGAAAUACUAUUAAUAGUAAAAGAUUCUCUUUGCUAUUAAGUUUUUAAUCAUUCGAUGAAAAAUUGUAGGAUUAGAAUGAUAUUAGUUCCUUAGGGUUAAGUGGUUCUCCUAAAGUUGAGUGGUCCUCACUAGUUAUAAUAUUUAAUCCAAUGGUUAGAAAUGAUAAAAAGCUUUGAUCUAAAUUUAGAUACUAAUAUCUCUUACUUGGAUAUAUAUGCAUAAACUUUAUUAU